This 320-nucleotide ribosomal RNA is filed under the name uncultured eukaryote. Its description in RNAcentral is "partial 18S ribosomal RNA". It matches the Rfam family "Eukaryotic small subunit ribosomal RNA", at positions 1470 to 1796 of the family's 1831-position model. The record is from RNAcentral.
CCCCUAGAUGUUCUGGGCCGCACGCGCGCUACACUGAACAGUUCAACAAGUCUUAACCUUGGCCGAUAGGUCUGGGUAAUCUUUGAACGCUGUUCGUGAUUGGGAUAGACCUUUGCAAUUAUGGGUCUUCAACGAGGAAUUCCUAGUAAACGCAAGUCAUCAGCUUGCAUUGAUUACGUCCCUGCCCUUUGUACACACCGCCCGUCGCACCUACCGAUUGAAUGGUCCGGUGAAAUCUCGGGACGUCGGCUUGGUCGCUUGCGUCCGACUGCUGAAACUUGAUUAAACCAUAUCAUUUAGAGGAAGGUGAAGUCGUAACA